UGAACGCUGGCGGCAUGCCUUACACAUGCAAGUCGAACGGCAGCGCGGGGCAACCUGGCGGCGAGUGGCGAACGGGUGAGUAAUAUAUCGGAACGUGCCCUGGAGUGGGGGAUAACGCAGCGAAAGUUGCGCUAAUACCGCAUACGAUCUAAGGAUGAAAGCGGGGGAUUCGCAAGAACCUCGUGCUCCUGGAGCGGCCGAUAUCUGAUUAGCUAGUUGGUGGGGUAAAGGCCUACCAAGGCAUCGAUCAGUAGCUGGUCUGAGAGGACGACCAGCCACACUGGAACUGAGACACGGUCCAGACUCCUACGGGAGGCAGCAGUGGGGAAUUUUGGACAAUGGGCGAAAGCCUGAUCCAGCAAUGCCGCGUGAGUGAAGAAGGCCUUCGGGUUGUAAAGCUCUUUUGUCAGGGAAGAAACGGUAUGGGCUAAUAUCCCGUACUAAUGACGGUACCUGAAGAAUAAGCACCGGCUAACUACGUGCCAGCAGCCGAGGUAAUACGUAGGGUGCAAGCGUUAAUCGGAAUUACUGGGCGUAAAGCGUGCGCAGGCGGUUUUGUAAGUUUGUCGUGAAAGCCCCGGGCUCAACCUGGGAAUUGCGAUGAAGACUGCAAGGCUUGAAUCUGGCAGAGGGGGGUAGAAUUCCACGUGUAGCAGUGAAAUGCGUAGAGAUGUGGAGGAACACCGAUGGCGAAGGCAGCCCCCUGGGCCAAGAUUGACGCUCAUGCACGAAAGCGUGGGGAGCA
This 745-nucleotide ribosomal RNA is filed under the name uncultured soil bacterium. Its description in RNAcentral is "bacterial SSU rRNA". It matches the Rfam family "Bacterial small subunit ribosomal RNA", at positions 30 to 770 of the family's 1533-position model. The record is from RNAcentral.